GGCCUGACGGCCAUGCCGGAGGGACGCAUCCCGAGUGAGUUCCGGCACUUACACUGCUAUUUUGCACUUAAUCUGCUGUCUAUACCCCCCACUGAUGACUCUAUUUACCCCUAUUAUGCUCCUAAAUCGAGUGGGGAUGUUCCUAAGCAUGUGCGAUGUCCCUGGGUGUUCACACCAGUGGAGAGCUAGCUCAGAGGCCUGGUGCGCUUGGAGGGGUGGAAAAGCGGCCGAUCUCAGCUCCAGGUCCGCGUGGCUGUUAGAUGUCCCAUUUUCCCCCUUUUGGACUGGCAGGGGUGAUCCCGAUCUACCCCUGGAGACCCCCUUCCCUGGCUGAGUUUGCGUGGCAAAACUGCAAUUCAAGAAACCAGCACCCGACGCACUCAAUAUGGCAGAUGCAGCGUGCCUCCUCGAUCCAUGCAGGGGAUUUUCUACAGCCCAACCACCUGAAUAGAUCCAAGUCCUUAUGGGCAGCGGUGGAAACCCAGCUGAGACUUGCGACGCCGAGAGUCCAGUCAAGAAGCAUACCUGGGGGCCUGCGAGGCAAGGCUGUGUGGAAGGUGGGAAAUCCUUUCAUGAAUGAGAAAAACAGGCAUCAGCAGACUUCAGGGACACUCUCUCUCUCUGGCACUGAGCCUUAGAGAUGCAUCUGAGUUUAUCUCCCAUUGGGCAGCAGGCUUGUUUUUACCUAUCUGCAUGUGGGUCAUUCAGUUCUUGCCUAAAUUGGGGGUAUCCUGAGGGUCUCACUCUCCCAUGAAACCUUGCUACGUUAUUGAUUUAACUCUCUCUUAGCAUCUCCUCUCAAUUCAGUGCAUAUGCAUCUAUUUGUCUCCUGUUCACAACUCUAGUACUGUACUGAUUUGCUUUUAUCUUGAAUUUACAAAAAACAAAUGUGCUGUUCCCUCUAAAAUGACUACUAAUGUUUUACUCACUUUUAGUGAUGUCCCGAAUGGUUCGCCGAACGGUUCGCCGCGGACGGCGAACAUAUGCGCUGUUUGGUCCGCCCCCUAUUCAUCAUCAUUGAGUAAACUUUGACCCUGUACCUCACAGUCAGCAGACACAUUCCAGCCAAUCAGCAGCAGACCCUCCCACCUCCUGGACAGCUCACUAAGAAUGCAGCUUCACAAUGAAUGUAAAAUGGAUGCUGUCCAGGAGAUGGGAGGAUCUGGGAGGGAGGGUCUGCUGCUGAUUGGCUGGAAUGUGUCUGCUUACUGUGAGGUACAGGGUCAAAGUUUACUCAAUGAUGCCAUAGGGGGCGGACCGAACAGCGGCGAACCGUUCCGGAUACCACUACUAACUUUGCUUUUUCCUCAAAAUGUUUUCUUGUACAAUAUACACUUAUUUUGUCUUGUUAUUUCAUUUUAUUGCAACCCUCAAAGUGUAUAAUGUGUUAUAUUUAUUAUUC
This is a non-coding RNA of Pelobates cultripes (western spadefoot toad), 1402 nucleotides long. NCBI's taxonomy places the organism in Eukaryota, Metazoa, Chordata, Amphibia, Anura, Pelobatidae. The record is from the annotation of a GenBank genome assembly.